GACAGAGGGUGCAAACGUUGCUCGGAAUUACUGGGCGUAAAGCGCGUGUAGGUGGAUUGGUGUGUCAGAUGUGAAAGCCCUGGGCUCAACCCAGGAACUGCACCUGAAACUACCAGUCUUGAGUGGUGGAGAGGGAAGUGGAAUUCCUGGUGUAGAGGUGAAAUUCGUAGAUAUCAGGAGGAACACCAGUGGCGAAGGCGGCUUCCUGGACACCAACUGACGCUGAGACGCGAAAGCGUGGGGAGCAAACAGG
RNAcentral lists this ribosomal RNA (253 nucleotides) under uncultured bacterium. RNAcentral's name for it is "partial 16S ribosomal RNA". It matches the Rfam family "Bacterial small subunit ribosomal RNA", at positions 524 to 776 of the family's 1533-position model. The record is from RNAcentral.